GUACAGCACAUAAAACCUCCUGCUCAAAAACUCCAGGCCUCAAGGGCCUGUUUUCCAGCAAACCCGUCACGGCAGAACACAACACAACCUGCUCCAGGUGAUCAGCAGCUGAAUGUCUGUA
This 121-nucleotide long non-coding RNA is filed under the name Oryzias javanicus (javanese ricefish). Its description in RNAcentral is "lncRNA (ENSOJAG00000019212.1)". Lineage: Eukaryota; Metazoa; Chordata; Actinopteri; Beloniformes; Adrianichthyidae. The record is from RNAcentral.